UAGGGAAUCUUCGGCAAUGGGGGCAACCCUGACCGAGCAACGCCGCGUGAGUGAAGAAGGUUUUCGGAUCGUAAAGCUCUGUUGUAAGAGAAGAACGUGUGUGAGAGUGGAAAGUUCACACAGUGACGGUAACUUACCAGAAAGGGACGGCUAACUACGUGCCAGCAGCCGCGGUAAUACGUAGGUCCCGAGCGUUGUCCGGAUUUAUUGUGCGUAAAGCGAGCGCAGGCGGUUUAAUAAGUCUGAAGUUAAAGGCAGUGGCUUAACCAUUGUUCGCUUUGGAAACUGUUAAACUUGAGUGCAGAAGGGGAGAGUGGAAUUCCAUGUGUAGCGGUGGAAUGCGUAGAUAUAUGGAGGAACACCGGUGGCGAAAGCGGCUCUCUGGUCUGUAACUGACGCUGAGGCUCGAAGGCGUGGGGAGCAAACAGG
RNAcentral lists this ribosomal RNA (429 nucleotides) under bacterium. RNAcentral's name for it is "partial 16S ribosomal RNA". It matches the Rfam family "Bacterial small subunit ribosomal RNA", at positions 355 to 776 of the family's 1533-position model. The record is from RNAcentral.